Long non-coding RNA from Gasterosteus aculeatus aculeatus (three-spined stickleback), 3550 nucleotides. Lineage: Eukaryota; Metazoa; Chordata; Actinopteri; Perciformes; Gasterosteidae. The record is from Ensembl.
CCCUCCCCCCAUCCCCACCUCUCCUCCCCCACAAACCUCAACAUCCUGCCAUCAGGUUUCCCUGGCAACUGUUGCCGCUGCGACAGCCCUUUUUCGCGCGGCCUGAUUUUUGGCUCGAAAGCAAAAAGAGGGGAGCAGACUGUGUCGACUAGUAUCCAUGUGUGCGCCUGCAACUUCCUCACAAAUAUCAACCGUGUGUUUUUUUUUGUUGAUGUAUUCUUUUUUUUAUUUUUACAUCACUAACUGUUUUUUGCACCACUGACUUUCUGGCAGUGAAUCGUUCAAUUCGCGUCACGCUGUCCUCUUGGUGAGUUUCAUUUGCAAAAGGCCCCACAUCGCUGCUAAACGCAUCUCUGCGCCCCACACUCGUGAUUAACACUCACACACCCGCAUCAGUCAUUAACAUAUUCCCUUCCCAGCGCGAGGGAUCCGUAUUCCCCUCACAGGUUAUUUACAUAUUCAUCUUCCUCUGUGUGUGCAAAUAACGGAUGCAUUAUCGUGUUGGUAUGCUGGUGGGUGUGCGCGCCGUGUGCGCGUGCACGUGCGCGUUUGUGUCAGUUCCUGAAAGCAAGGACUGUUAGGAAAAAAAAAAGCUAUUUACCCCCGUAAUUCCUCAGAUACCGCGUUCCCCCGCCCACCGCCUGUAGUAGCUCAUCGCUUUGGAAAGCAACGCGUAGCCCCUAUAGCACCUGUGAAGAGGCACAAACCAGAGGCCAUGUGAUUGAAGCUCGCUGGUGGAGAGAGCGGCGGUUGAGCCGGAGACACGCAGGCACAGUGCUGCAGUGUCUGAGUCACAGAGCAACGAACACACUCCCAACACUCUAAUGGAAAUGCUGUGUUUACUGUGCAGGAAGGGACCCGCUCAUUCACCCAUUCAGGGAAUAGGUGAAAAACACCGUAAUAUACGUGUGUGUGUGUGUGCGUGUAAUGACUAGUUGGUUUGUUUUGUGCAUGCAGUUGUGAAUUACAAAAUUCCUGUUACUGUUGUUACACGGUCAGUGUGUGUGUGUGUGUGUGUGAGUACGUGUUGAGGUGGGCUCACCCCGGCGAGGUUCUGUGAUGAGGGAGGAGGGGCGGUCAGACCUUCAUUUUAAAUCCCCAGUUUAAACCAGCUCUCUCCCUCUGCUUCAGGCUACUUUUUGCUCCCCUCACUAACACUGAGGUAAAAAAAGGCCUCUUCGCUCAGCAGCCCCCCCCCCCCACACACACACACACACACACACACACACACUCAUCUCGAUCGCUAUGCAUACUGGGAUAAACACCUCAGAGGAAACGUGCGUCUCCUGUUAAGCCAGUAUCCCCAACCUUCUUAUCUCUCUAUCAUCCGCCACUUGCUAAUCUGGGGUCAAAGGUCAGUUCCAGGGGCGGCUUAUGUCUAACGGCACAACCUCAGCUAGCCAAUCAAGGUUAAUGUUCGCAUUUUGCAUCGUGCCAUUUGUUUUUAUUGUUUCAACCCGGCUGUGCUGUGAACAAGGGUAACACCUGUUGGUGAAGCUGAGCGACUUUUAAUGUGCAUUUUUCAGCGGCUGUAUUUAUGGUUAAUCGCCUUGACGAGUGAUUUGACUUUUAGUCAUAAUCAUAACAAUUUGCCACUGCUCUCGGGUGGCGCGUGAGGUUUUGCGCGAGCGCAGAUAUGAGGGCGGUCCAGGUUGAGUCUGCCGUUAAUUGCAGCCGUACUUGUUCCCCCCCCCCCAGCCCACCUCCCCCUGGAGGCGAUGUCGCACACGUGUUAACCUCGGCGCUACAAGGCCGUGUGAGCUGCCGCGCGGCUAAAUUCAUUUUCUGUCACACCGCCCUUUUAAAAAUAGCAUCGAAGCGACAGCGGAGCUCGAUGCAUUAUUGAUACACGCGGUGUCAAUGAUGCAUGGCGGCGCUGGUGCUAAUCCUCUCCCAGCUGCACAGGACAAGAAGGUCCAGCUGACGGGAAUGCAAGGUUUUUUUGCUUUUAUUUCUCACGCGGUCAUCAAAACGGUGCGUCGGGCUCACCCCCCCUCCCCAACCACCCUGCAGGAGCAGCCAUGUCUCGCUAUUUGCUGUGCUCCUGGUGUGGAGGCCGGUUCGACGGCACCGGCCUUUAGAUGCCCGGGUCGCAAAGCAGAACUUUUUCUUUCGUUUGCCUCAUGUUGCGUCUGCCGGGGCUCGAGAUGAGAUGUGAGCAGAACUUUUUCUGUGUCAUCAGUGUGAGCGGCCUGAAGCCACUUAUCAAAGCUUAUCUCACGUACGCACACACAAGCAUGUGCAUGUGUCAUCACACACACACACUCACACACACACACACCAACACUGACUGAGUGAUUUAUUGAUUGAGGUGGUGCUUUCUUAAACAAUUUGCAGCCGAGUGCACUGGAGGUCAACGCAAACCUCUCCACCUGCCGCCGCCGUGCUUCAGUUUUACGAGUGUGUGCUUUAUAUCCUGUGAAGGUGUCCUUAAUUUCGAGGAUGGCCGUGACAUUAGCGCACGGCUUAUUUCCUCGUUGCCUCGGCAACCACGUUGUUGGUCACAAGAUGUCCGUCGCGGUCGUCCUGCGAGCCCUGAGCUGUGUGCAGUCGGGGGGGGGGGCGGUUGUCGAUGUCGGCACGCGCUGUGACGUAAGACUGAUGAGUGGUGUCUCAUCGCAGAUGACUAUCUCCUCCGUGUCACUCAGUUGUGGAUCAUCGAGCCUGUGAGCUGCUGCUCUGAAGAAAAGGGAGACAAAAUCCACACAGGCGUUGAAACAGCAAAACGGGACCGUGUAGUUGUAAAGUACAGAUCGAUGGAAUCCGUAAACCCGGACUGCUCCUAAACAGAGAGCCUUUCACGGACGCUUUAGAAAGGAGGACAUCACUGUCAGAGGAAAACUUGAUUUUAUUUUACAUAUAAAUAGUUGGGCUAAGAAGCUCUACAGAGCCAAACAAAAUUGCGUUUUUGUGGACGGCGCGAGGUUUUUCGCCAGAAACCGCCCGACUUCGUGGCCUGAAGCGGCUGCGCGGAACACGUGAUGUGUGCUGACGCUGGGACUCGUACCCGAAGGUCCUGAACCAUUGGUAACUACUAAAGGAUGUGCUGACCCAGCAGCCGCACUCCUCUCAGAGGACGAGCUCACUGUUGAGUUUCCAAACGCACAUUCCACCCCCCGUCUGCAGAGCCUCCCCCCGGCUCCCAGAUUUACCGUUUAUGGGCACCUUGGCUCAGCAUCAUAAUCACACUCUGCUGUGUCUGAUGUUUGUUUGAAGCUCGGCGGGGGGCCACCGAGUACGUUUCGCCGCUUUGAAGUGUAAAUUCCGGUCUGGUUGGAGCACCGUAUGGAAGGCAGUGGGGAGACAGCAGCCGCCAUGUGGAUAUAAGCUGCUGGGAGCCCUUAUCGGUCUGCCGAGGUGGCAGAGGCCCAGGAGGACGGGAGGUCAAGCCCAGAUUUGGACGUAGAACAGCGAGGGGUCAGAGGUUGUCUGGGCUCCGAGAGGUGAAACCAGAACAGGAAUCGGCGUGGCCUGGAUCCGCGCAGGAAACAGUAGUGAAUAGUCGUCAAUAAGAAAUCACCAUCUCCAUCACCCUCUUUUUGCCCCCCCC